RNAcentral lists this unclassified non-coding RNA (433 nucleotides) under soil metagenome. Its description in RNAcentral is "partial contains 5.8S ribosomal RNA, internal transcribed spacer 2, and large subunit ribosomal RNA". The stretch from base 1 to 120 matches the Rfam family "5.8S ribosomal RNA", at positions 35 to 154 of the family's 154-position model. The record is from RNAcentral.
GAUGAAGAACGUAGCGAAAUGCGAUACGUAAUGUGAAUUGCAGAAUUCAGUGAAUCAUCGAAUCUUUGAACGCAUAUUGCGCUCUCUGGUAUUCCGGAGAGCAUGCUUGUUUGAGUAUCAGUAAACACCUCAACUUCCAUAUCUUUUUUGAAAUGGGAGUUGGACUUGAGUGAUCCCAACGCUUUUCCUCACCGAAAAGUGGCGGGUUACUUGAAAUGCAGGUGCAGCUGGACUGUUCUCUGAGCUAUAAGCAUAUCUAUUUAGUCUGCCUAAAAAACAGAUUAUUACCUUUGCUGCAGCUAACAUAAAGGAGAUUAGUUCUUGUGCUGACUGAUGCAGGAUUCACAAAGACAGGCUUCGGCCGACUUUGUAAACUCGAUCUCAAAUCAAGUAAGACUACCCGCUGAACUUAAGCAUAUCAAUAAGCGGAGGA